UAGUGGCUGGAGCCUCUACGGUGGCUGG
RNAcentral lists this small RNA (28 nucleotides) under Bombyx mori (domestic silkworm). RNAcentral describes it as "ovarian small RNA-23070". The record is from RNAcentral. Lineage: Eukaryota; Metazoa; Arthropoda; Insecta; Lepidoptera; Bombycidae.